This 225-nucleotide ribosomal RNA is filed under the name uncultured bacterium. RNAcentral describes it as "partial 16S ribosomal RNA". It matches the Rfam family "Bacterial small subunit ribosomal RNA", at positions 28 to 253 of the family's 1533-position model. The record is from RNAcentral.
GACGAACGCUGGCGGCGUGCUUAACACAUGCAAGUCGAGCGGUAAGGCCCUUUCGGGGGUACGAUGAGCGGCGAACGGGUGAGUAACACGUGGGUGACCUGCCCUCAGCUCUGGGAUAAGCCUGGGAAACCGGGUCUAAUACCGGAUAUGACUCCAUGACGCAUGUUGUGGGGUGGAAAGCCUUGUGCGGCUGAGGAUGGGCCCGCGGCCUAUCAGCUUGUUGGU